UACUGCUUUUUUCUUACCAUGUGUUUUUCUUUUUUUGAAAACUUUGCUUUGGUAGGCCAACUAUAUGGGGCCUGCCAGAGAUUAAACUCAACCAAAUUUUAUUUAAUGUCAACCGAUUAUUUAAUAGUCAAAACUUUCAACAACGGAUCUCUUGGUUCUCGCAUCGAUGAAGAACGCAGCGAAAUGCGAUAAGUAAUAUGAAUUGCAGAUAUUCGUGAAUCAUCGAAUCUUUGAACGCACAUUGCGCCCUUUGGUAUUCCAAAGGGCAUGCCUGUUUGAGCGUCAUUUCUCCCUCAAACCCUCGGGUUUGGUGUUGAGCGAUACGCUGGGUUUGCUUGAAAGAAAGGCGGAGUAUAAACUAAUGGAUAGGUUUUUUCCACUCAUUGGUACAAACUCCAAAACUUCUUCCAAAUUCGACCUCAAAUCAGGUAGGACUACCCGCUGAACUUAAGCAUAUCAAUAAGCGGAGG
This 470-nucleotide ribosomal RNA is filed under the name Lodderomyces parapsilosis. RNAcentral describes it as "eukaryotic LSU rRNA". The stretch from base 132 to 285 matches the Rfam family "5.8S ribosomal RNA". Lineage: Eukaryota; Fungi; Ascomycota; Pichiomycetes; Serinales; Debaryomycetaceae. The record is from RNAcentral.